GAUGAACGCUGGCGGCGUGCCUAAUACAUGCAAGUCGAGCGAACGGACGAGAAGCUUGCUUCUCUGAUGUUAGCGGCGGACGGGUGAGUAACACGUGGAUAACCUACCUAUAAGACUGGGAUAACUUCGGGAAACCGGAGCUAAUACCGGAUAAUAUUUUGAACCGCAUGGUUCAAAAGUGAAAGACGGUCUUGCUGUCACUUAUAGAUGGAUCCGCGCUGCAUUAGCUAGUUGGUAAGGUAACGGCUUACCAAGGCAACGAUGCAUAGCCGACCUGAGAGGGUGAUCGGCCACACUGGAACUGAGACAAGGUCCAGACUCCUACGGGAGGCAGCAGUAGGGAAUCUUCCGCAAUGGGCGAAAGCCUGACGGAGCAACGCCGCGUGAGUGAUGAAGGUCUUCGGAUCGUAAAACUCUGUUAUUAGGGAAGAAAAUAUGUGUAAGUAACUGUGCACAUCUUGACGGUACCUAAUCAGAAAGCCACGGCUAACUACGUG
Molecule: ribosomal RNA, 497 nt
Filed under: uncultured bacterium
Lineage: Bacteria
Description: partial 16S ribosomal RNA
Rfam family: Bacterial small subunit ribosomal RNA
Source: RNAcentral